This 69-nucleotide transfer RNA is filed under the name Gekko sorok. RNAcentral's name for it is "tRNA-Ala". The record is from RNAcentral. Lineage: Eukaryota; Metazoa; Chordata; Lepidosauria; Squamata; Gekkonidae.
CUGAAGACCUGUAAAACUCUAAUGUACAUCUCCUAAUUGCAAACCAGGCGCUUUAAUUAAGCGAAAGUC